This 253-nucleotide ribosomal RNA is filed under the name uncultured bacterium. RNAcentral describes it as "partial 16S ribosomal RNA". It matches the Rfam family "Bacterial small subunit ribosomal RNA", at positions 524 to 776 of the family's 1533-position model. The record is from RNAcentral.
UACGUAGGGCGCAAGCGUUGUCCGGAAUUAUUGGGCGUAAAGAGCUCGUAGGCGGUUUGUCGCGUCUGCUGUGAAAACGCAAGGCUUAACCUUGCGCCUGCAGUGGGUACGGGCAGACUAGAGUGCGGUAGGGGAGACUGGAAUUCCUGGUGUAGCGGUGGAAUGCGCAGGUAUCAGGAGGAACACCGAUGGCGAAGGCAGGUCUCUGGGCCGUUACUGACGCUGAGGAGCGAAAGCAUGGGGAGCGAACAGG